Molecule: ribosomal RNA, 433 nt
Filed under: uncultured bacterium
Lineage: Bacteria
Description: partial 16S ribosomal RNA
Rfam family: Bacterial small subunit ribosomal RNA
Source: RNAcentral
AACGAACGCUGGCGGCAGGCUUAACACAUGCAAGUCGAGCGAGACCUUCGGGUCUAGCGGCGGACGGGUGAGUAACGCGUGGGAACGUGCCCUUCUCUACGGAAUAGCCCCGGGAAGCUGGGAGUAAUACCGUAUACGCCCUUUGGGGGAAAGAUUUAUCGGAGAAGGAUCGGCCCGCGUUGGAUUAGGUAGUUGGUGGGGUAAUGGCCCACCAAGCCGACGAUCCAUAGCUGGUUUGAGAGGAUGAUCAGCCACACUGGGACUGAGACACGGCCCAGACUCCUACGGGAGGCAGCAGUGGGGAAUCUUAGACAAUGGGGGCAACCCUGAUCUAGCCAUGCCGCGUGAGUGAUGAAGGCCUUAGGGUUGUAAAGCUCUUUCAGCUGGGAAGAUAAUGACGGUACCAGCAGAAGAAGCCCCGGCUAACUCCGUG